This 314-nucleotide ribosomal RNA is filed under the name marine bacterium SIMO-4468. RNAcentral's name for it is "bacterial SSU rRNA". It matches the Rfam family "Bacterial small subunit ribosomal RNA", at positions 220 to 526 of the family's 1533-position model. The record is from RNAcentral.
AUUGGAUGAGCCCAAGUGAGAUUAGCUAGUUGGAGAGGUAAUGGCUCACCAAGGCAACGAUCUCUAGCUGGUCUGAGAGGAUGACCAGCCACACUGGGACUGAGACACGGCCCANACUCCUACGGGAGGCAGCAGUGGGGAAUAUUGCACAAUGGGGGAAACCCUGAUGCAGCCAUGCCGCGUGUGUGAAGAAGGCCUUCGGGUUGUAAAGCACUUUCAGUGGUGAGGAAAGGCAGGAGAUUAAUACUCUUCUGCUGUGACGUUAACCACAGAAGAAGCACCGGCUAACUCCGUGCCAGCAGCCGCGGUAAUAC